This is a long non-coding RNA of Scatophagus argus, 659 nucleotides long. RefSeq lists it as uncharacterized. Lineage: Eukaryota; Metazoa; Chordata; Actinopteri; Scatophagidae. The record is from RefSeq and is a predicted model, not a curated record. The transcript is spliced from 4 exons.
GUUUGGAGUUAACGGUUUGAAUAUUUCUAAGAGCAGCAAGGAAGAAAUGAUCUUGUUGGCUGACAGAAUAAAUCUCAAAUUGCUGGAGCAGAAGUUACCUGACAGUUACUCUUCUCCGCCUCUGCCAUUUCCUGCUCCGUCACCUCGUCCUCGGCCUCCUCUUUUUGCGCCGCGUGGCCGUUUGUCUGUGCUGUCCCGAGCAUCUUGGCGCUGUGCUCCUGCGCCUUCGCUCGCAGUGCAGCAAUACUGUUCUCCCUCAGCUCCUCUUUGGAAAUAGUUUACCUAGUAACCAGGGAGCAUAAGAGUCCGUGACGCCCUCCUUGGCUGACUUGAGGAUGGACUCGGGCAGAGGGAUGGAGUGGCGGACCAUGGCGCCGUACAGGCCGUACUCUGCCAUCACGCUGCUGCGACCCCAGCACUUCUCCCUCUUCCUCCACUUGGCCCUGCGGUUCUGAAACCACACCUGGAGAGAUGAAGGUCAGGAUUUGGAGAACUUUUGAUCACCGGAAGAAAGACUCAUGUCAUCAGAAUCUGUGAGGAAACACAAAACACAUCAGUGAACAACAAUUUAAAAUAAUGUAACUGAAUAAUAAAAAAAAAUAAUAAAUGGUAAUAGUUUACUUUCUUAGCGUAAAAUUGCUUCAGAGAAGAUUUGUCAA